This 210-nucleotide unclassified non-coding RNA is filed under the name Hevea brasiliensis (rubber tree). The record is from RNAcentral. Lineage: Eukaryota; Viridiplantae; Streptophyta; Magnoliopsida; Malpighiales; Euphorbiaceae.
AAAUCUGGAGGGACUUCUCGACUGAAGCAAUCACUACAUCCACCUUAGCACGCCGCAAAAUAUCUGCAAUAGUUACUAGUUCAAUCCCUUGACAGCCAUUUGCAAUUGGGAUAAGAACACGAGGAGUAUGAUCAACAGACCAGUCAACUUUGUUGAAUUCUUCCUUUCGAGGACAGUCAUUCUCAGAAUCCAUCAGCAACAAUUCUCCAA